RNAcentral lists this unclassified non-coding RNA (425 nucleotides) under soil metagenome. Its description in RNAcentral is "partial contains 5.8S ribosomal RNA, internal transcribed spacer 2, and large subunit ribosomal RNA". The stretch from base 1 to 120 matches the Rfam family "5.8S ribosomal RNA", at positions 35 to 154 of the family's 154-position model. The record is from RNAcentral.
GAUGAAGAACGCAGCGAAAUGCGAUAAGUAGUGUGAAUUGCAGAAUUCCGUGAAUCAUCGAAUCUUUGAACGCACAUUGCGCCUUCUGGUAUUCCGGAAGGCAGGCCUGUUCGAGAGUCAUUAACAACCGUUUCGAUCCCUUUCUUUCAGAAAUUACAAAGAGGAAAAGGGUUUGGUUAUGGUGGAGGAGGGAAAGGGAGCGUUUAGCCUGUAAAAAAAGAGGCUGUGUUCCGCCUCCCCCCCAAAAUUGUACAGGCGGUCGUGUGCGCCCACGCAUCGAGGUGUUGUAAAAGCUGCCACGGCACUUUUCACCUGUGCAGUGCGAGAUUGGCCAGCCGGUUUAAAAACCCCUCCAAACAAUCAAAGGUUGACCUCGGAUCAGGUAGGGAUACCCGCUGAACUUAAGCAUAUCAAUAAGCGGAGGA